This 380-nucleotide ribosomal RNA is filed under the name Apicomplexa sp. RNAcentral describes it as "partial small subunit ribosomal RNA". It matches the Rfam family "Eukaryotic small subunit ribosomal RNA", at positions 582 to 975 of the family's 1831-position model. Lineage: Eukaryota; Apicomplexa. The record is from RNAcentral.
AUUCCAGCUCCAAUAGCGUAUAUUAAAGUUGUUGCAGUUAAAAAGCUCGUAGCUGAAUAGAUAUUGCAAGCCACUGCCCAUCUGUUCUGAUGUGGCGAAUGGCUUCGCAAUAAACAUAUGUUACGCAAUAUCCUUCACUGGGUUUUGCCGUAGCAGACGUUUACUUUGAGUAAAUUAGAGUGUUUCAAGCAAGUAAAUGCGUUGAAUACUGCAGCAUGGAAUAAUGAUAUAAGACUUUGUUUUAUAUUAUUGGUUGAAAAGCAAAAGUAAUGAUUAAUAGGAACAGCUGGGGACAUUCGUAUUCAUCAGUCAGAGGUGAAAUUCUUAGAUUUGAUGAAGACGAACUAAUGCGAAAGCACUUGUCAAAAAUGUUUUCAUUA